This 497-nucleotide ribosomal RNA is filed under the name uncultured bacterium. RNAcentral's name for it is "partial 16S ribosomal RNA". It matches the Rfam family "Bacterial small subunit ribosomal RNA", at positions 28 to 507 of the family's 1533-position model. The record is from RNAcentral.
GACGAACGCUGGCGGCAUGCCUAACACAUGCAAGUCGAACGGAGAUUAUUUCGGUAAUCUUAGUGGCGAACGGGUGAGUAACGCGUGGGCAACCUGCCCUCUAGAUGGGGACAACAUCCCGAAAGGGGUGCUAAUACCGAAUGUGACAGCAAUCUCGCAUGAGGAUGCUGUGAAAGAUGGCCUCUAUUUAUAAGCUAUCGCUAGAGGAUGGGCCUGCGUCUGAUUAGCUAGUUGGUGGGUAACGGCCUACCAAGGCGAUGAUCAGUAGCCGGUCUGAGAGGAUGAACGGCCACAUUGGGACUGAGACACGGCCCAGACUCCUACGGGAGGCAGCAGUGGGGAAUCUUCCGCAAUGGGCGAAAGCCUGACGGAGCAAUGCCGCGUGAGUGAUGAAGGAAUUCGUUCCGUAAAGCUCUUUUGUUUAUGACGAAUGUGCAGAUUGUGAACAAUGAUCUGUAAUGACGGUAGUAAACGAAUAAGCCACGGCUAACUACGUG